Molecule: ribosomal RNA, 235 nt
Filed under: uncultured bacterium
Lineage: Bacteria
Description: partial 16S ribosomal RNA
Rfam family: Bacterial small subunit ribosomal RNA
Source: RNAcentral
CGCACGGGUGCGUAACGCGUAUACAAUUUACCUCAUACAGGGAGAUAGCCCGAAGAAAUUUGGAUUAAUAUCCCAUGGUAUCAUUUUUUCGCAUGUUAAGAUGAUUAAAGAUUUAUCGGUAUGAGAUGAGUAUGCGUCCUAUUAGUUAGUUGGUGAGGUAACGGCUCACCAAGACGACGAUAGGUAGGGGGCCUGAGAGGGUUAUCCCCCACACUGGUACUGAGACACGGACCAG